GAUCCUGGCUUAGGACGAACGCUGGCGGCGCGCCUAACACAUGCAAGUCGAACGGUGAAGAGGAGCUUGCUCCUCGGAUCAGUGGCGGACGGGUGAGUAACACGUGAGCAACCUGGCUCUAAGAGGGGGACAACAGUUGGAAACGACUGCUAAUACCGCAUAACGUAUCGGGAUGGCAUCUUCCUGAUACCAAAGAUUUUAUCGCUUAGAGAUGGGCUCGCGUCUGAUUAGAUAGUUGGG
Molecule: ribosomal RNA, 240 nt
Filed under: uncultured bacterium
Lineage: Bacteria
Description: partial 16S ribosomal RNA
Rfam family: Bacterial small subunit ribosomal RNA
Source: RNAcentral